Salvia miltiorrhiza (redroot sage) is the source of this 806-nucleotide long non-coding RNA. RefSeq lists it as uncharacterized. The transcript has 3 exons. Lineage: Eukaryota; Viridiplantae; Streptophyta; Magnoliopsida; Lamiales; Lamiaceae. The record is from RefSeq and is a predicted model, not a curated record.
AUUGAAGUCUUCAGUUAUUUAUGUGUGCUUGAUUUAAUUAUUCACAUUUCGAGCCUUAGUUUAAAUUAUUCUAUGAGCACAUGCUACCACUUGUCAUCUAUCAUCAUGUCUUCCCAUGAUCACCAUGCUUCCUCCCUCACCUUUAAUACGCCACCUACUACGCCACCUACUCCUUGUCAAAAUAAGCUGCUGCCAUCAUUAUCAUGAUUUGUUUUCAACCCUUACCAUCAACUACAGUGCACAAGCCAUACAAUUACAAAUCUCACUCCAACAAAUCAGAUUUUUCUUCUAUCUAUAAUCAUUUUAUUCCUUCGUUGUGAAAGACCAAGCAACCAGAAGCUCAACUUUAGUUUUUCCUCCACUAAAUAUUUCGAGCAGGCCAAGUUUGUGGUGCACCAGAUCAACGAACCAGCAACUUCGUUCUAAAGGCUUUAUGAACCAAGGGGAUUAGCGCUGCUUUCCCAAGACGAGUUUAUGUGAUUAUGAUCUUCAGGCUUUGCCUAUCCAGGUUGAGCAACUGAUGGAAUGGAAUGAUGUUGAGCGGGUGUCCCUUUGACAUUUCAAGAAAUGUAACCUUGAGUAUACAUCUUCAUAUGUAUAUCUCACACGUUUUCCGCUGCAAAACACUUUGAUUAGGAUAGCUCUAUGUUAUGAAGUUGUGAUACAUGUUAUUGGGUAACCCACCUUAAUCAGUUCUCAUUUAAGUGUAUGUUUUAUAAGUAUCCAAAUAAUCAUAUAUGAUCCUAGCAUUUUAUCUAUGAGUGACAUUUCCAUAUACUUUAAUGUUAAGUAAUUGUCCAUUUCCA